UACGUAGGGUGCAAGCGUUAAUCGGAAUUACUGGGCGUAAAGCGUGCGUAGGCGGCUUUGCAAGACAGAUGUGAAAUCCCCGGGCUUAACCUGGGAACUGCAUUUGUGACUGCAUGGCUGGAGUGCGGCAGAGGGGGAUGGAAUUCCGCGUGUAGCAGUGAAAUGCGUAGAUAUGCGGAGGAACACCGAUGGCGAAGGCAGUCCCCUGGGCCUGUACUGACGCUCAUGCACGAAAGCGUGGGGAGCAAACAGG
This 253-nucleotide ribosomal RNA is filed under the name uncultured bacterium. RNAcentral's name for it is "partial 16S ribosomal RNA". It matches the Rfam family "Bacterial small subunit ribosomal RNA", at positions 524 to 776 of the family's 1533-position model. The record is from RNAcentral.